RNAcentral lists this ribosomal RNA (198 nucleotides) under Triticum aestivum (bread wheat). RNAcentral's name for it is "partial small subunit ribosomal RNA". Lineage: Eukaryota; Viridiplantae; Streptophyta; Magnoliopsida; Poales; Poaceae. The record is from RNAcentral.
UCCCAGGCAUCUAGCGUCGUACACACAAUGGUUGGCCGUACAAUCAGGAUUCAUAAUGGAAAGGAAUAUAUACCUAUUUACAUAACAAAUCCUAUGGUAGGUCGCAAAUUGGGGGAGUUCGUGCCUACUCGGCAUUUCACGAGUAAUGAAAAUGCAAAAAAGGAUACUAAAUCUCGUCGUAAACUGAAUUCUGAAUAG